This 7272-nucleotide long non-coding RNA is filed under the name Gallus gallus (chicken). Its description in RNAcentral is "lncRNA (ENSGALG00010019764.1)". Lineage: Eukaryota; Metazoa; Chordata; Aves; Galliformes; Phasianidae. The record is from RNAcentral.
CGAUGCUGCUUGGGGAUUUGGCGCCGGUGUUGGGCUGGUGCCCCAUUCCCACGCAGAACCAGGAGCAGGUCUGAGCCCAGCCUUGUGCAAAUCUGUUGCCUUCUCCAUCGAGGAAGCGGGAAGCCCCGUGAAAACCUCCAAACACAUCAGAAUGACCAUAUUUAUUAGCUGGCUUCCUGUUUUCUUUGCGAUCCUUUCACAAACAGGAGGCAGAAAUAAAAAUAGCAAACAUGUUUUCCCCUAUUCCUCCGUGAACGCUUACUUAAGCUUUUAUUAUAUUUGGCCGUGGGACAUUUGGUAAACUUACUGAUGAUAUCGGAGAAUGAUUUUACAAACAGUAAAAGUUACACUAUUGACACCUCCAAAUUCUGGAGUAUUUACAUUGUGUUAGGUGCACACUCGCUCAGCGAGAUUAACAAACAUUACUAGAAAGGCUAUAGCCAAAUCCACCGUGGUUGUUUAUAAAACCUUUACAACUCAUCAGCUUCCACUAACACACUGGCACUGUUCAAUUACCAUCACUUUUAGAGAGCCUUAGCAAAACACCCAGUGCCCAUGUAAAUAGACAAAUCUGAAAACUAGCUGGUCUGUUGGCUUACAUACUGUAGGUAAUGUUUUCUUUUGCUCAAAUUUGUUCUAGAAACUAAUCACGCUCUGAUAAAGCCAUCUGCAAAUAUGAGAAAGAUUGACAUCCACAUGUCAAAGUUUACACAGCCUGACCAAGUGUACAUAUAGUGCGGGCGCCGCGUGGCCCCGCUGUGCUGAUCUGCCUGGCCUGUACUGGUGCAGGAGCGCAGCACCAGCACCACCAGCAUCCAGGAGCUCCAGAGCCAGCAGAAGACCCCGCUGACAGCCAGGUGACCCUGCAUGGCAUGGGAAGGGAUUCCUACUGCUGCACCAGGUGAUGCUGCCCAGAGCAUCCUUCUGUCGCCAGGAUACAGGACUCACAGCCUUCAUACCUCCAUUGCUUUCCUAGUGAAGUGCUUUGAUUUUGGAUCAUCCGACAAGGAAACCCUACCAUUUUCCUCAGCCUGUGGUUUCCUGGAGCGUCAGGUGAGAGCAAAAAGAAAUUGAAAAAAGCUUCAAGGUGAGGACGGGCAAAAUACUGGGUCACAAGAGUUUUUUCUCCCACUGAAGAGUGAUCAGCACUCAGUGCAAACUGCGGAGUUUUGUUUGGCUCUGGGUCUCCAAACAAGGCUUUUGUUGACUCCUAAACAAGGCCAGUGCCCAAGAUUUGGAGCCGGCUGCGGCGGCUGGCACCCAGGCCCUGAAAUUCCAAACAGAGAAGAAGAAAAUAAAUCACCGAUGUUUUACUUAAUUGCAUCACUAAAGAAAGGAUUUACAUGGAAUUUAAUGAACUUCUCUUAAUCACAUCCAACACCCUUCCUGCACUGGACAUUUGCCUCGUGAGCAAGGCAAGGCUCCAACUUGGAAAGGGAGCGGGAUGUGAUAGAAAUGGGUAAAAGCUGACAGCCGCAGGGCUCCGGUUCAGUCCUCACCCAACUGAGCUCUGCCCUGUGUCUUGGUGCUGGGUCCCCACUGUGCUGUGUCCUCUGUCUUGGUGCUGGGGUGCCACGGGCUCUGUCCUGCUGUUUUGUAUGGCUAGCUGUCCUUCUUGCUCUUAAUGGUGGUCUCUAUCACAGCCUUGGUGGUUGGGUUGCGCAUCUCCAACAGGUGACUUGCAACUGUCCUCUGCUCACUGCACCAUGCCUCAAUUUCCCCAGCUAUCCCACUAGGAAACAACAGGGCACGUGAUUGAGACUCCCUCCAGCACAUCCAUCUGCCUCCCACACCGGGAGAUGGCUUUGGCCUUUGCUCCAUCUCUGUACCAGCAGCCCAGCUGCUUUCUCAGAUAGAAGUGAAGUCAGAACUCACACCCCCAUGCUCCUGUCCCCUGCACUGGCAUGGAUCCCACUCCAAAGGGACCGUGCUUGGGCAGAAAAGGUGACUCCAGAGCUGGCAUUGACAAAAUAGAUGAGUACAGACCCAGGCUGGAGUUUGACAGAGGCUGCGGUGCAGGUCCAUCCGUGCAAGCAUUAGGUGUUUAAGGAUACUUGUUUGAAAGCACAUCAGCAUCAAUCAUUGUCUGCCGCUACUUGAAAAACAAGGCUGAUAGACUAGCAGCUAGCAAAGCUUUCUGCCUGCCUCCGAAGCAUGCUGCAAUUCAAUUAGUCAUGGUCAGAGGGUGGCAUUAUUAUUCAUACAUUACUGAUUGUUCCCAAAGUAAACAGCGCUAGGAUGGGGUCUGUGAUCCUCUCUGUGCCCUCAGCCAGGACACAAAGGGAAAUGCGAUGCAGACCCCGGGGUGGGACAUUGUUUGCAAACUUCACAGUCAGAUCUCGCCGUUUUUCAUAGCCCUCACUGAUAAGUGUCGGUUUAUGCAUACAAAAAAGCCGAGAUAUUUUACCCCAGUCAAUUCCACGAUUUUUUUUUUUUUUUAGCACUGAUAACUUUUCUUUUUUUUUCAAGCCAUAUGCUAAUUUUAGAUAGGAUGGAUAGCUUAAACUAUGCAAAUACAAACCCUGCCACCGCAGAAUAUAAUAAUGAUCGACAGCUUAGCAAUUAGCAGUAAAUAACCACACCAUGCAACGCAGCAAUAUCAUUUGCAUGCUCGCAAAAUAGUAACCCAGAGCCGUAAUGGACUACAAAGCCAUCUGUUUAUCAGCGUUACAGCAGCAAAAGCCAAAAUACACACAGCACAAAAAGUGACCCGAGUGCUCGGGACCAAUGCCUGCCCUUGGUGGCUCUUGGUGCAGGUGGGUACCACGCUCCAGUGCAGAGAAGGGAUGGAGGGUGAGCGCCCUCCGAGUGAAACCUCAUGGCGAGGAACAGCAGAAAAAAAAAAAGGGUUACGUCUCAUAUCUGUGUAUGCAGAUUAUAAAAACACACAGAAAAUCAUUGCUCCCCCUGGAUAUAGCUGCCAGCCCCUCCCGCCCCACUGCUUGCCCCGCUGCGUACCUCCCGCACCCGCUCCAGUGUGGGUGCAGCCGUGCCUCCCUCCCACCGCCAGCUAAUGUAUUUGCACAAAACUUGAAGGAGUGCAAUUGACGUGAGAGCCCUACUGCCUCCAAAGUUAUUACAGUGACUGAUGGACAGGCACGGUGCGAAUCAGCAUAUUUGCUCCAUUUCCUCGGGGAAAUGGACUCGCUACAAUAAAAAUGUGCUCUUUCAUAACUGCUGCCCUGCUCACUUGGCUAAAUUUGAACGCGAGGGCGGAGGAUUGCUCUGGGCAAGGAGGAGGGAGAAGACGAGCUCACUGCUGAGGCAAAUUGAGUUAAGAAGUGGUGGUUGUAGGCAAAUACCUCCGACAGCGGCACUAUUGAUGUGGCUGCAGAAUUUCUGAGAGCCUAUGCACACAGUAAAACCCCACCCCGAUGAGAACCACCACCUGAUACUCUAACCAGCGACCAUUUUUCCUCACUGUUUUUUUUUUUUUUGUGUGUGUGCUUUUUGUUUUUUUGUUUUUCCAUAAAAGGGAGGUCAUCUUUGCCUUCUCAUUGGUAUUCUCCCCCAACCCCAUUCCUCUUCCACAGGACCGGCCCCAACGUAGAGAGGGACAGACAGAAAACAUCGCGAAAUGACAAAUGCCAUGUUUCGUGUCAGUCAUCGGAGGCAUUCUGCAUAGCGUUUCUGUUCUGUCCUGCUGAUGGCUUGAUUUAGUGCUGCAGUCGCUUGUUGGGUUGACAUGACAACUGGGGGACACGUCGUAAAUAUCCCAGGAGCGGAUGGGAGCUUUGUGCCGCAUGUGCUGAACCCGCCGCCCAGGUGGCAGCCCAGCGGGCUUCGCCCUGGUUUGUUUGGAAGAGAAAGAAAGAAGAAAGGAAGGCAACAACAACAAGAAAGUACAUAUGGUUUCUUUUUAAGAAAAAGAAAGAAAGAGAAAGGAAUCUUCAUUUUCUUUUGGUUGACUUGAUAAGUCUUUGUGGGAUCACUCGCGGCCAUUAGGACCCGGUUGGCUGCCAUCCAUCUAUCCAUCCAUCCAUCCAUCCAUCCAUCCAUCCAUCCAUCCAUCCAUCCAUUCACCAUUGGCUUUCUCAGAGGUUUGGAGGUAUUUAUUGCUCACAAGGCUGAGCUGCCAUGGAAGAGAAGCCAAGGUUUUUGCUGAGGAGGAGACCUGACAUGGAGAUAGGCUUUCAAUCUGUCGAGGAGGAGCUGGAAGAGUGUCAGGAGUGGUUUUGAUCUGCCUCUGCCCGAUUGCACAGCAUGUGGACAGCCUGGCAGCACCUGGGCUCACAGGUUGGAAAUGAGCUGGGAACAUUCCUCUUUCUGUGGGAUGCAGCUUCCCAGUGAGAGAAGUCUGGAGCUGUCAUAGCAGCAGGGUUUCAUUUUUUUCCUGCAGCUCUGCUGCUUUUUCAGGAUAGAAAAGAGCAGUUCAUGCUUGGAGAAAUGCCUCCAUCAGUGUUUUCAAAAUGAUAUACUCAGUUUAGCCAUUUAAAGCCAGUUUAGCCACUUAAAGCCCUUUCCGAAUCUAGCUUCCAUUUGGGGUGAUAUUUUCAUCCUGUUAUGUUUUGUUAGAGUUUAUAAAGAAGCGCUCACACACACAUACACACACACACACACACACACACACAAACACACGUUCAGUUUUGUUUCAGAUUGAAAUGAGACAUUACUGAAACAAAGGCAAAGUUUCCUCUCGUCUCCCUCCAUUGUCCACUCGUCAUUGUUUUCUGCUAUUAUAUGCAGUAAGACAAAUGAUGGGGGAAAGCUCCUUCCCACUUUCUCCUUUUCUUUUUUUUCCUUUGUAAUUUUGAAAAAGCCUCCAACUUGAAAGGAAGAUGAGCCAGAGCAGUAAGAGAACAAAACCCAUCAGCAACUCCAUCACUGGGAUUUGAAAAUGUUUAAAUGCACCAGGGUUACAAGAGAACAAUCUCUGUCACUUCCAAAGGUUUCCUUAGCUGGAGGAACUGAGGAAAGGAAGAGAAGCAAAGCAAAAGAAGAAGAAAGGAAAAUAAUGAAAAUGCCCAAAACAAAGCAUCAAAUACAAAAAGAAAAAAAAAAGAAAAAAAAAGAAAAAAAAAAGAAAGAAAAUCUAGCAACCAAAUUUAGAUGUUUGAUACGUGAGCAAAAUUCGUUCAAGAAAGCCUUCUCCCCUGCUUUGCUGGAGCUGGGAUGAUGCCAGGACUCUUUCCCAGUCCACAGGGGCCCCAUGCACACAUCCCCACACAAUCCAGGCUGCUGUUACCAGUAGUCUUUACCUGGCCCAAAGCCUAACAGUUGGGCGACCUUGAUGGAAUCUGAGAGCUGCACAGAUUCACCAGGAGCCAUACAAGGACAUCAUUGUCACCUCUACCUAACAUCCCCCUACACCAAGCCCUGUCCAUCAGCAGAACACCUCAUCCUGCCCCCAUCCAGGGCAGAAAGCAUCACCUCUUUGCAUGAGGGUGAGAAAUCCCAGAGGGGACACCGAAGUCCUUUGGGGCUGCCAUCGCCAUCCCCAUCCCGGCACCCGGCAGCUGAGCGGAUCAACGGUCCUUUAGAGCAAAAAUCAUAAAUCAAACAAUAGCAGUCCUUCCUCGCCUUCCCUGACGCUGGGAGAAAUGUCUUGAUUAGCUUUUGUUUGCUUGUUUGCUUGGGCUUGUUUGUUUGUCAAUGCGUGUUGUGUAUCCGUGGGCGUGCGUUGGCUUUAUUGACCGAACGUGGAGCUGAAGCGUAAGCGGGGUUACGCAGCGGCAGCGUAGGGGAGAGGAGAAGGCUGGAUUGAUGGAGAUGGCAUUUACAUUCCCCACUCAAUCUGCAUCGGGGAGGAGGGUCACUGCGAUAUGAGUUUUGACUGAGAUGUACUUUGUGGAAGCAGAUGACUAGCGGAGGGAAAUCCUUCAGCCGAGCCUCCCAAAUACCUUCAGCCCUACAAAAGCCCCCAGAUGCUUUCCUCUUCCUGGCCAGGACCUCCACACACUGACCAGGGACUGGUGGUGAGGAGGGGUGCUUUGGGUGUGCAUUGCCGUCCCUGCGUCGUUCGGAUGGUUUGGGCAGGGAGGCAGAGAUAAAAGCAGGACAAGUCAGAGCUCCUCCGUACAGAUUUGUCCCGAUUUACACCAGCUGAGCACUCGUUCAACCAACAUGAAAUAACUCCUGUCUACAAAUAUCAGCCGUGGGGAUCGGACCCAGUGCAAACUGGCAACAUCUGCAGCUGCCGCCAGACAGACAGACAGAUAGCCCGACGUGAAUUAUUUAACACAAAGUGCCAUGACCUCUAUUAACAAAGGGAGAUGCUUCCAGACCUGCGGGCAGCACCAUGGGAAGCAGCUGGAUCCAAAUCAAUCUAAUUGAAGACGGGCCUGAAUUUAUUAUACGAGCCCUGUUGAGGACGCUGAGGGGGAAUAGAUGCCAAUGCAGCGUUCUCCUUUUAGCUCAGCUGGAAAGAUCACAGCUGCAAAUUGUGAUUAAGCAAAAAAUCAGGUCUGAGCCUCCCCCGCCCAGGCAGCAGCACACGGAUGCUAGGAGGGGGGGUUUCUUAGCACUGAGCAUUUUCAGAAAAUAAAAUUAUCUUGAAGUUUCCCGAGUUUUUUCUUUCUUUCUUUCUUUCUUUUCCCUUCCCCUUCCUCUAUAAUCAAAAGAAAGAACUGAAAGAAACGUGCACUUCAAGGCUUUAAAUCUGAAACUUCCUAAUCCCCUGAAGUCCACACUAGACUUCUUGCCUCCAUGGAAACCCCAAAGCAUUCAUCCAAGUGAUUGGCCUCCAAUGAAUUUUAGAUAAGACAGAAUGGAACAGAAUUGAUGUGAUUUUAAUGCAGAAGAAAGCGGUGGAAGGGAGGUCCACUUGGUUCAUAUUUGAAUAAAGCAAACAUGACAGACAAAAGGCUGACAGCUGUAAAUGACAUUGUCAGUACAAAAAUUAUCAGCCAGUUUACAAUCUGUUUGCUUAUGUUGAACAAACAGAAUGUGUGUGGCAUCCCUUGGCUUCAUGAAUGGCAGAAAUACUUGCAGGCUCCGGAGAGAGGCAGAUAUCUGUUCCCUCCCAGCCCUCCCACUAGAAGAUAUCCAUUUGACAGCCACACUGAAAAGGAAAAUUCUCUCCUUUUUUCCUCCUCUCUCCCUUCUGCUUUUUCAAUUUCUUUCUUUUUCUUUUUUUUUAGCCUCCUUCUUUUUCUCUCUUUUUUCCUCUAUUUCUGGCUGCGGUGCUGUUUCAGUGGGAUCAGUGCUGGGGCUGCUGCUGCAGUGCUGCAGGAUGGAUGGAGCCGUUUGCCAUGUCCCACAUUCCUGGCCCCAAACCUGCCAUCACCUAGCCACAGCCCCGACCGAGCACGCUUUGCUUUCCCUGACUUACUU